RNAcentral lists this transfer RNA (138 nucleotides) under Arthrobacter caoxuetaonis. RNAcentral's name for it is "Arthrobacter sp. zg-Y453 tRNA-OTHER". Lineage: Bacteria; Bacillati; Actinomycetota; Actinomycetes; Micrococcales; Micrococcaceae. The record is from RNAcentral.
AGGAGUGUGGCCCGGCUUGGCAGGGCGCCUCCCGGCUAUGGAAUGCGGGUUCAAAUCCCGCCGUCCGCUUCGGCGCGGAUGCCACCUGGUAGGGCCAGAACGGGAAGGAAGCCGCGGGUUCAAAUCCCGUCACUCCAC